GAGAUAUAUUAGGGAUUCUCAACACUCCCCCUCAAGUUGGUGAAUAAAUAUCUUCCAUUCCCAACUUGCUUGUGAUGUUCUGAAAUUUUACUAUGGGUAGCUCUUUUGUUAGAACAUCAGCUAGUUGUUUCUCUGUUGGCAUAUAAGGAGUGCUAAUGAGACCAUUUUUGAGCUUUCCCUUUAUGAAAUGUUUGUCUACACACGUUUGCUUCGAUCAUGCUGAACUGGGUUAUGAGCCAUGCUAAUUGCUGAUUGAUUGUGACAAUAAAGCUUCAUAGUCCCCUCUCUCUUAAUCUUGAGAUCAUCAAGAAAAAUCUUCAGCCAUGAUAAUUCACAAAUCCCAUGAGCUGUUGCUCUAAA
This 360-nucleotide unclassified non-coding RNA is filed under the name Hevea brasiliensis (rubber tree). The record is from RNAcentral. Lineage: Eukaryota; Viridiplantae; Streptophyta; Magnoliopsida; Malpighiales; Euphorbiaceae.